UACAAUGACUCUCGGCAACGGAUAUCUCGGCUCUUGCAUCGAUGAAGAACGUAGCGAAAUGCGAUACUUGGUGUGAAUUGCAGAAUCCCGUGAACCAUCGAGUCUUUGAACGCAAGUUGCGCCCGAAGCCAUUAGGCCGAGGGCACGCCUGCCUGGGUGUCACA
This 164-nucleotide ribosomal RNA is filed under the name Glycine microphylla. Its description in RNAcentral is "5.8S ribosomal RNA". It matches the Rfam family "5.8S ribosomal RNA". From Rfam's summary of the family: 5.8S ribosomal RNA (5.8S rRNA) is a component of the large subunit of the eukaryotic ribosome. It is transcribed by RNA polymerase I as part of the 45S precursor that also contains 18S and 28S rRNA. RNAcentral also lists the same sequence under 1 other name. Lineage: Eukaryota; Viridiplantae; Streptophyta; Magnoliopsida; Fabales; Fabaceae. The record is from RNAcentral.